RNAcentral lists this ribosomal RNA (393 nucleotides) under uncultured bacterium. Its description in RNAcentral is "partial 16S ribosomal RNA". It matches the Rfam family "Bacterial small subunit ribosomal RNA", at positions 523 to 918 of the family's 1533-position model. The record is from RNAcentral.
AUACGGAGGAUGCGAGCGUUAUCCGGAUUUAUUGGGUUUAAAGGGUGCGUAGGCUGUGCGUUAAGUCAGGGGUGAAAUGCCGUCGCUCAACGACGGAGCUGCCCUUGAUACUGGUGUGCUGGAGUACGGAUGCCGUUGGAGGAAUGAGUGGUGUAGCGGUGAAAUGCUUAGAUAUCACUCAGAACACCGAUUGCGAAGGCAUCUGGCGAAUCCGUCACUGACGCUGAGGCACGAAAGCGUGGGGAUAGAACAGGAUUAGAUACCCUGGUAUUCCACGCCGUAAACGAUGAUGACUAACCGUCGGCGAUAGACAGCCGGUGGCCAAGCGAAAGCGAUAAGUCAUCCACCUGGGGAGUACGGCCGCAAGGUUGAAACUCAAAGGAAUUGACGGGG